AACGCAAAUUGCACUUUCUGGUAUUCCGGAAAGUAUGCCUGUUUGAGGGUCAGUUAAAUAAAAAUCGGUGUUGCUGCUACCCGUAGUGGUGUUAAUGCAUCGGAAUUGAGUUGUCUUUACCUUUUUUGGUUUAAGUGACUUAAAAUUAUGUACGAUUUUUGAACGUAUUUAAAUUAUUUACGUAUGUUCAUAAUAUCAAAUAUUAGAUGCGGUCAUCCUCAUGAUUCACAUCUAUAAUUUUUCAUUAUUUGACCUCAAAUCAGGUAAGAGUACCCGCUGAACUUAA
RNAcentral lists this unclassified non-coding RNA (286 nucleotides) under uncultured Glomerales. RNAcentral's name for it is "sequence contains 5.8S rRNA gene, ITS2, 28S rRNA gene". The stretch from base 1 to 52 matches the Rfam family "5.8S ribosomal RNA", at positions 103 to 154 of the family's 154-position model. The record is from RNAcentral. Lineage: Eukaryota; Fungi; Glomeromycota; Glomeromycetes; Glomerales; Glomeraceae.